GACGAACGCUGGCGGCGUGCCUAAUACAUGCAAGUUGAGCGAUGAAGCUUGGUGCUUGCACCAAUUUGAAGAGCAGCGAACGGGUGAGUAACGCGUGGGUAAUCUGCCUUUGAGCGGGGGACAACAUUUGGAAACGAAUGCUAAUACCGCAUAACAACUUUAAACAUAAGUUUUAAGUUUGAAAGAUGCAAUUGCAUCACUCAAAGAUGAUCCCGCGUUGUAUUAGCUAGUUGGUGAGGUAAAGGCUCACCAAGGCGAUGAUACAUAGCCGACCUGAGAGGGUGGUCGGCCACAAUGGGACUGAGACCCGGCCCAAACUCCUACGGGAGGCAGCAGUAGGGAAUCUUCGGCAAUGGACGAAAGGCUGACCGAGCAACGCCGCGGGAGGGAAGAAGGUUUUCGGAUCGUAAAACUCUGUUGGUAGAGAAGAACGUUGGUGAGAGUGGAAAGCUCAUCAAGUGACGGUAACUACCCAGAAAGGGACGGCUAACUACGUG
RNAcentral lists this ribosomal RNA (497 nucleotides) under uncultured bacterium. RNAcentral's name for it is "partial 16S ribosomal RNA". It matches the Rfam family "Bacterial small subunit ribosomal RNA", at positions 28 to 507 of the family's 1533-position model. The record is from RNAcentral.